RNAcentral lists this long non-coding RNA (365 nucleotides) under Zostera marina. RNAcentral describes it as "long non-coding RNA (ZMAR_LNC001826)". Lineage: Eukaryota; Viridiplantae; Streptophyta; Magnoliopsida; Alismatales; Zosteraceae. The record is from RNAcentral.
UGACUGAAGACAUCUCAGGUGUAUUAUGUUAAUGAUAUCAGAAAUUCGGAGUUAGCUACUUCCAAUUUAAAUCGACGUGCUACGUACAUUUUCCAUUCCUUAUGAUCUUGUAAACGUCGAUCAUUGAACAGAAUUAUCAAGGCGACAGACGUACUGGAUUUUCAAUUACGGUGGAACUUGACCGGAACAAUGUUGCAUGCAAGAUGUGGAGAUCUAGACCCUCACUGGCAGAAUACGAGUACAACCCUACAAUCAUUGAUGGUCUUGGGUUGUUGCAUCCAUCAAUCAUGAGUCAUGACUAAAUUUGCCCCAUCUGCAUUCAGAAGGUGAUAGGGUAGAAUCCCUAUCGGAUGUAAACUAACUAG